Molecule: long non-coding RNA, 229 nt
Filed under: Mytilus galloprovincialis (Mediterranean mussel)
Lineage: Eukaryota; Metazoa; Mollusca; Bivalvia; Mytilida; Mytilidae
Source: RNAcentral
GUGGUUACGACGAUUGGAACAUAUCAUUAUCAUCUGUACAUUUUUUGCGCCUUUUUCGUGUCAGGAGCAUCUGGGGUUGAAGUCAUAAAACUGUCCUCAGUGCUCGGAGCACAAAAAUUAUGCUCGAAACAUGAAAUCAAGCGUUUUGAUUAGUUAAUUUUGAAGUAUGAGUACACAAAAACCUGACUCGAAUGUUUUAUGACUUCAAGGCCUGGGCUUUGUUUGUCGU